Dama dama (fallow deer) is the source of this 2568-nucleotide long non-coding RNA. RefSeq lists it as uncharacterized. The transcript has 3 exons. NCBI's taxonomy places the organism in Eukaryota, Metazoa, Chordata, Mammalia, Artiodactyla, Cervidae. The record is from RefSeq and is a predicted model, not a curated record.
UGGAGCCACGUCUCUCCUGAGUCCCAAGUCCUAAGUUAGAGGGUGUGGGUAGGAGCCAGUGUUGAAGAGCUGAGAGCUUCGCUUCCAGAUCCCCCUUGGCCUCCCUAUGCCUACAUUUCCUCAUCUGACCCACCUUGUAGGGGUGCUCACUAAAAUGCUUAUUUUCUUUGCUGAUUCUCAGAGGAAAUUUGGAAAAUACAGACAAAUGAAAAGCAAAGAAGUCUGCAGGAUCCCACCCUUUUCCCAGGCUCCGGCAGGGUGAGGCCAUGGGCCUGACUGGAGCCGGAUCACCCCACAGGUGGUGGAAAGAGCUCUAGCCAGGGAGCGAGGAGACCCGGGUGCCCGCAUCCUUUCUGCCACUGAUCUUGGUUGCCAUCCCUGAGCAGUGCCUAAGGUCCCUUUAAACAGCAGCUCCCCACCAAAUCCUGCCUCACCCUGCACUUUGCAGCCUGGCCACAAAGCAAGUGGCCACACCCAGGGUUGGGGUUGGAGCUGCUCCUGGUCACACCCUGUGAAAGUGAGUAAACAGGGGGCCAAGGCCUGCCCACAAGGCUUCGGGACACCAGGCAGCCGGGGAAUGACAGUAGAGGGGGUUCUGGGCCCCGGAGGCCUUUAGGGUGACCUGAGGCAGAGAUGCUCCCACGUCCUGGCUUAGGACCUGGACAAGUGACUUCACAACUCAGCUUAGUUUCCUCAUCUGUGAGAUGCCUCAUCCCAGGCAUCUUGACCAAGAUAAUGAAUGUGAAGAGUGCCAAGCAGUGCCUGGCACAUGAGAGGCAUUCAGUAAAAGAGCCAUUCUUGCUGUGAUCACUGAGCCCCUCCGGGAGGGAGGUACAGACAGAUGCACUCGGCUCCUCUGGGAGGCAAGCGGUUCAAAACCACAGCUGUUACUAAAACUCUGCCGGGUCGCCUGAAAGCAGCUGGCCAGAGGAGAGACUGGGCCCACCACUGAGCCCCCUCCCUGGGGGCACCCAGCUCCUAAAUCAAGCAGUACUGGAGAAAGUCAAGCAGAGAAGAGACUGUGUCUCCCUAUACAACUUCAGACAGGUUACAUCCCCUUUCCGAACCUCAGUUUCCUCCUGCAACAUGGAGCUGCGAACACCAUCUACUUCCUAAGCGCGAAACUGCGUGCCGCGAAAUUCGGAUCUCCCGCGGAAAAUGCCGGGCUCCGAUUGGUCGCUGCAACAGGCACAGGCUCCACCCCCCGGAAGGACCAGUCCCCCGAGGGAGAUCCUAACAUCUAUCGGAUGAGAUGGUUGGAUGGCAGCACCGCCUCAAUGGGUAUGAGUUUGAGCAGGCUCUGGGAGUUGGUGAUGGACAGGGAGGCCUGGCGUGCUGCAGUCCAUGGGGUCGCAAAGAGUCGGACUGAGCGACUGAACUGAACUGAACAUCUAUCGAUGGCCACAGCAUGCCUAGCACCCUGCUAGAUGAUUGCUUUAUCUUAUUUUAUUUAACUGAAUCCAACAAUUGCCAGAAAAGAAGUGAUGAUCUUGCUGGUAAAGAUGGACCGUCUGAGAGGUUAGGUCACUUGCUCAAGGUCACACAGAGAGACUGGCUGGUUUGUGAUCUGACAGUUCAGUCUGAGAAAGGCCAGCUCCUGAGCCCUUGUUUGUUCCAAUGAAAGAAUCCUCCCACACUCUCCUAAGCUGAGCCCAGGCCCUUGCAGUCUUGGGUGGGAGUCCAGAGUGCAGAGCUCUGACUUGUCCACAGUUGUAUUCCCAGAGCCCAGCACUCUGAAUAUUUGAAGAUCUCCAGGUUUCUCCUCAACAACCCUUUCGUCACAGGUCUUCCUUCCUUCAUGGCCAAUAAUCCAUUUACAUUCCUCAUCUCUCCAGUCUAGAGAGGCCAAGGCUUAGAGAAGUAACCUUGGCUAGUGAGUGGCAGAGCCACUAAAACGUGCUGCUAGAUUCCAGGUCUGCUGAUUCCUGCCUGCGUCUGUGUGAUUUUUAUGCAAGUCUGAACCUGGCAUUCAAAGCGCUUCUUCAGAGUCAGUUCCCAGCUUCAUACUUGAUCCUCAGAUCUCGAAGACGAGAUGGUAAUAACGCGUGGGGAUGAAGAACCCAGACUUUGAAGCAGAGAGCCCUGCUUUCAAACCCAGACCUGGUCACUUUACUAGCUGUGUGAGUUUUGUAAACUCUCUGAACUUGGGUUUUCUUGUCCCGUAUCACUCACUUCAUAAGACUGUGGGGAAAUCUCAUGAGAUAAUGCAUGUAAAGCUCUCAGCACAGAGCAUGGUUUACAAGGAACCCCAAGAAAUGGCAGCUGUGGUUACAUCUCUGACCUUAUCUCCAGUGCACAGAUCCCUUUACUCCAGUCUACACAUUUCACUGGUCUAUCAUGGCUCAGUUUAUUUUUAAAAUUUUUAUUAUGAUUGUGUUAUGUUAUUUGAAUGAAAAUAGACUUUAUUGCCGAGGGAUUAAAACCAUUUGAACAUGUAUUUUUCUAUAUAACAUCACAAUAAGUCAUAUUGUGAUCAGUGUUCACUAAAAUAUUAAUUUUCAUCAUUUGCUUCAAUUCAUGUCUUCUUGACCAGUUCUUUUGUUUCCUUCUCAUAUAUUGUAUGCCACA